Molecule: non-coding RNA, 71 nt
Organism: Dipodomys ordii (Ord's kangaroo rat)
Lineage: Eukaryota; Metazoa; Chordata; Mammalia; Rodentia; Heteromyidae
Source: Rfam
GGGAAGAUGGCUCAGUGGUAGAGCUCUUGCCUUGCAUGCAUGAGGCCCUGGGUUCGAUUCCUCGAUUUCCA